This 5294-nucleotide long non-coding RNA is filed under the name Sus scrofa (pig). RNAcentral describes it as "lncRNA (ENSSSCG00070001897.1)". Lineage: Eukaryota; Metazoa; Chordata; Mammalia; Artiodactyla; Suidae. The record is from RNAcentral.
ACACACUUGUUGUGUGUAUUUCUGGAGAACAGGGUGAGCCUAGCAGUGAUGACUAAUAUCUUUCUACUAACCAGGAAAAUGUGAAAGUGGGUCUUACCAAGGUGCCACAAUGCAGACCAUCGAACUUCACUGUCUAGGUGAGUGAGAAUGGUGUCCUAACAUUUGUGUUCCUGUCUUUUUUGGCAGGCGUGAGGUUCAGAGAUGAUGUGAUAUUCGCUGAUUAAAGACAUUCUUAUAUACAGAUGGCUACAUAACUCAUGAUUUUAGUCUUUUAUGUUCACUUUGUUUUUGACAUGUAAUCAGGAAUUUAAUUUUCCCUAAGAACUCUAGUCAGAAGGAGAUUUUUUCGUAUAUUGUGUAAAGGUAAAUUGUAUCAAGCAUCGUAGUGAUGGACAGUUUGCAGAGGUGACAUCGCUAGUGUCAAGGUCAAUGAUGAUGGAGCCUAAACCAGAGCACAGGCCAUCGGAUCUCCAGGUAUCUGAGUAAGUGAUGAUGUGUCCUAACACUUCUUAUUACCACAAUUUUUUUUCAGGCAUCAGGGUGAAAAAUAAUAGAGUCCUUAUCAAUCUAGAAAACAAUAGUUUUCAUUUUAUAUUUUAGAAAGAGUUGAGCACUCUUUGGUGUUGAGUGAUUGCACAUAUGCAGAUAUUUAAUAUGGUUUUCCCACUACAGUACUGCCAUAGUUUUGUUUUCUUUUAAACAGUUGUCCAGUCAAGAAACUCUGGCUUCCCAACCUUGGUGUUGACCUUGAUUAGUGAAAGUAUCCAGGUAGAGUUGAUGUGUCUCAUAAUGGUGAUGUGAUCAAGGUGUCUGGACAGAAAGGAUACAUCUUGUGUAUUUUCCAGGUUCCUAUCCAGAUAUCACUCUGAAACAAGGAUUGAUGUUAAUGGUGGCCACUGUUGGGUCCAGGUUCCUGUCAAGAGAGAGACAUUCUGGUGGUUGUUCUCUGGGGACAUUUCUGUGCCCAGGUAUGUAAUGAUGUGCACCUUCCCCUAACAGACAUCUCAUCUUCUCAUAUCUAGGUCAGUGUUAGGAUUGAAUAACUUAUUUACCAUGUGUUUUAUUUUCAAGAAGUCAGGUAAGAAAUCAUAGUAUGUUUACCAGUUGUAGCAAUCCUGAUAUGCUACUGUCUGUGAUCUUAGAGAAAAUGUAUGCUUAGUCAUGGAGUGUUGAGUGGCUGGUGGGUAUCCACACCAUGACAGUGGAAUUGUGUGGUACACUAGUAACCAUGGUGCUUUGGCAAGUAAGCUGGGAAGAGAUGAUGCUGUGUCGAAAUUUGGCAUAGAUCUUGGAGUCCUACAUGAAUCCAGGGAGAACCGAUGGGUCCUGCAGUGAUGGCCACCCAUAAGGCUGUUUGAAAUUUCCUGGUAGAAAAGGUACGUCCAUAGACAUAUCUGUCACAAAAGGCUUUUUACAGUCUGGUCAAGAAGUCAUGGUGAAUCUCAAAAUGAUCUUGAAUGGAACUUUGCUUCUCUCCAGAUAAGUGUUGCUAUGGCAUUUAGCACCUAUAAUAUGAUCUUCAGAUAUGUAGGUCUGAGGGAGGUGUUCCUAAUUAUUCUGUUACCAUCUUGUUUUAUUUAAGCAGCUAUUCAUUUAAGAAGUGGCAUUUUCCAUCACAACCUUGUAGAUCAACUAUAGUUCAGUAAAACUUUAAAAAAUGGGGAAAAAAAAGAAAUUGACGUAGUCACAACUAGUGCUUGUAAGUAUUUGCCUUUUUUUUUUUUAAAGAUUUUUGAUAUAGUGUGUAUUUAAACUUAGUAGUAACAGAGGGUUAUUCAGGUCCAGGUAAUUUAUUCUACUUUUGCAGUGUUAACCAUGACAUUUCUACAGAUUCUCCUAGAAGAGAUGAUACUGUGCCUCACAAUGGUGUUGACCUUAAAGUUCUUCCAAGGUUCAUAUAGUGCAUACGCUCCUCUAAUGAUGGAAGCAAGCAAGAUUAUCUUCAAAGGUACUUAUUUGGCAGAUAAAUAAGAAUGUCCUUUAACACAGUUGUCUAAUGCAUUUCUCAAGGUUCUAGUCAGCAUCGUGAAUAUAAUUAACCAAAUAAUAGUUGUCAGUGGGACCUUGUUAGAAACCAGGUUGGUGAAAAGGUGGCUUCCAGCCCAGUACAGAUCAUUAGAUGUUCAGUUAUCGAGCACGUAAGAAUGGUGUCUAACACAGUGCACCACACUUUUUUGUAGGUUUCCCAUUACUUUCUUUGUCUAGUGUACAGGUAUGAGAUGAUGUGACAUUAAUUCAUUAGAUACCAUCUUUUCUUCAGAUACGUAGUUAGUGAUGUUGACCUUGAAGAUCUUUCAAGAUCCACAGAGUAUCAAGGAUUCCCCUGAUGAUAGAAAAAUAACCAGAAGUAAUUACGUGUAUUCUUCAGGUAAAACAUUUUUUUCCUUAAAACCCUUGUCAGUUGUGUUCUUACAUGUUAUAGUAGUGAUGACCCUAUAGCAGACCUAGGAAUGGUCAUCAAUGGGACCCUGCUAGUAACCAGGUAAGUGAUAUUGAGGGUCUUGCAGCCCAGUAUAGACCAUCUGGUCUUCAGAGAUGUCUGUGUAAGUGAGGAUGAUGUCCCCAACACCAGACACAGUGAUACUGUGUUUUUUCCUGCAGGUACCCUGUUAAAGUGUUUGCUAGUAUGAAGGUAUUUUCAGAUAAAUAAGGAAUAAAUGAUAUUUUGCAGACACUUUAUAGUUUAUCUUACACUUAACUAUAUUAACUAUAUUUUUGGCUUGUAUGCAGUAAAGCUAUUAAUCUGUCAUUAACAUACUCGUAAGCAUGAUAUUUUCCUACAUUCGAGUUCCAAAAUACCAUUUUACCCACCUCUACUGACAAAAGGAUAUGCAGAUAUCCAGGAAAUUUAUCAUACUGUUCAUCACCGCAAUAUAGACCGUAGAAUUUCGAGGUAGCCUUUCAAGAGAAGAAGGCAUCUCUUACUAAGAUUUAGUCCAGGUAAUGGCGAUGAGUCUCACAGUUAUGCAGUGGAACAAAGGGAUCUGAAGGUGGACACUAGAAUGAUAUGUACUUCAAGCACAUCCUCUAAAUGCGUCUUCAGGUUCGUGAUGGUAAGCAUCUCAAUGUAGUUAAAGUUGCUGGUAUCUAGGUGAGUGAUGGUGUGGGCCUAACCACAUCAUAGACCAUCUCUGCCUCAUGUAUGUGGGUAAGUGAAUAUGCUUGCCUUCCUAACACUUCUUCUUAAAAAGAUUUUUUGCAGGUAUUCAGCUGAGAAAUACUAAGAGUUCAUACUAAUUCCAAUAACCAUGAGUUUACGCUUUGUGUAUUUUAGUGAAAAUAUGUUUUAUCUUGUAAGUAUUGAGGAGUCAGUUAUGUUCCCAGUAGUUGUUGUGAAGUCUCCUCACUGUUGUAACCAUUGGAUUUUUACAGGAAUCCAGGAAAGUGAUACUGAUCUCUUCUGACAGCAGUGUUGACCUCGAAUGAAUGCAGAGAUCCAGGUAGCAAUGAUGUGUUCCAUGAUAACGGAGGUGCACACGGUUAGAUGCAGGUGUCCUGGUAGAACAGUGUUUGUCUUACACAGAUUUGUUGCAUGUAUUUCUUCAGGAUCCUGUUAAGACAACAGGGUAAACCUAGCAGUGUGAUGACUAACAAAAGCUUUCUAGUAACCAGGUAAGUGUGAAAGUGGGUCUCACCACAGUGCACACCAUCUGAACUUCAGGGUCUAGGUGAAUGAGGAUGGUGUCCCUAAUAUUUGUGUUCAUGUCUUCUUUUUGCAGGUGUCAGGUUCAGAUCUUUCCUUGUCACACAAGGAUGAGAUGAGGGGAUAUUCACUAAUUAAAGACAUUGUUAUAUUCCGAUGGCUACGUGAUUCAUGAUCAGUCUUUUAUAUUUACUUUGUUUUUGGCAUGUUAUCAGAUUUGGCUUUCCAACAUUGGUAUUGACCUUGAAUUACUGCAAGUAACCAGGUAGAGUUGAUGUGUCUCAUAAUGGUGACGUGACCAAGAUGUGUAGGUAGAAAGGACACAUUUCCUAUCUUUUACAGGUUCGUGUCCACACAUCACUCUGAACUGAGCAUUAAUGUUAACAGGGGACACGGUCGGGGUCCAGGUUUAUGAUGAUUGUGACCCUGUCACUUGUUACCAUGGCUUCUCUGCAGGUAUUCAGGUAAUGGUUGGUUCCUUACCAAUUCUUAAUACCAUGAACUUUCAGUUUUCAUGCUUUAGAGAGUAUCUUUAACUCUGUGACUCAUGAGCAAUUACACAUAGCAGGUAUUGAUUAUGAUUGCUCAAGCACAGUAGUGAUCAUGGAAUUUCUGCAGGUAUCUUGUAAAGAAGUGUUAUUUCCUGACAAGGGUCAUGCCCUAGGAGAACUGCAAAUAUUCAAGUAGAGUUGAUCAUAAUGCUGUCAAUGACGGAGCUUGUUUGCAAGUGUCCUAGUAGAGUAAGCUAUGUCCUUUUAUACGUGUAUCAUAAUGUGCUUUUCAGGUUCUGCCAAGAGAUGAAUAUUCAUUCUGAUGGUCAUUCUCUGGGGACAUUUCUUUGUCUGGGUAGGUAAUGAUGUGCACCUUUCCCAGCAGACAUUGCAUCUUCUCAUAUCUAGGUCUCUGUUCGGAUUGACUAAAUUUACUUAUCAUGUGGAUUUUUUUCAGGUAAUCAGAUAAGAAAUGAUAGUAUUUUUACCAAUGGUAGCAAUCCUGAUAUGCUGCUGUUUGCAAUUUUAGAAAAAAAAUGUAUGCUUACUCAUGGGAGUGUUCAGUGGCUCUUGAAUAUCCACAUCAUGAUGGUGGAAUUGUGUGGCACAGCAGUAACCAUGGUGCUUUUGCCAGGGGGCUGGGAGGAGACGCUGGCGUGUCGAACUUUGGCACAAAGCUUGGAGUCCUGCAUGAAGCCAGAGAGAACCGAUGGGUCCUACAGUGAUGGCUACACACAGGGUUAUUUGAAGAGUCCUAGUAGAAAUUGUGCCUCCAUACACAUAACUGUCACAAGGGGCUCUUUGCAUUCUAGUCAAGAAAUCACAGUGAAUCUGAAAAUGAUCCUGAAUAGGCCUUUGAUGUCUCCAGAUAUUCAUUUCAGAAAUUAAUCACAAACUUGUCAGAUUCCCUGUUGUGGCUCAGUGGUAAUGAACCUGACUAGUAUACAUGAGGACUCAUGUUCGGUCCCUGGCCUCGCUCAGUGGGUUAAGGAUCCGGCGUUGCUAUGGUGAGCUACAGUGUAGGUCGCAGACAUGGCUCGGAUCUGUCGUUGCUGUGGCUGUGGCUUAGGCUGGUGGCUGUAGCUCCAGUUUGAGCCCUAGCCUGGGAACUAUGCUGUGGUUGUGGACCUAAAAAGACCAAGAAAAAAAAAGAAAAGAAA